Molecule: ribosomal RNA, 492 nt
Filed under: uncultured bacterium
Lineage: Bacteria
Description: partial 16S ribosomal RNA
Rfam family: Bacterial small subunit ribosomal RNA
Source: RNAcentral
GAUGAACGCUAGCUACAGGCUUAACACAUGCAAGUCGAGGGGAAACGACAUCGAAAGCUUGCUUUUGAUGGGCGUCGACCGGCGCACGGGUGAGUAACGCGUAUCCAACCUGCCCAUCACUUGGGAAUAACCUUGCGAAAGUAAGACUAAUACCCAAUGAUAUCCCACGAAGGCAUCGGAAUGGGAUUAAAGAUUUAUCGGUGAUGGAUGGGGAUGCGUCUGAUUAGCUUGUUGGCGGGGUAACGGCCCACCAAGGCAACGAUCAGUAGGGGUUCUGAGAGGGAGGUCCCCCACAUUGGAACUGAGACACGGUCCAUACUCCUACGGGAGGCAGCAGUGAGGAAUAUUGGUCAUGGGGCGAGAGCCUGAGCCAGCCAAGUAGCGUGCAGGAAGACGGCCCUGUGGGUUGUAACCUGCUUUUAUAAGGGAAUAAAGUGGGUCACGUGUGACUUUUUGCAUGUACCUUAUGAAUAAGGACCGGCUAAUUCCGUG